RNAcentral lists this long non-coding RNA (275 nucleotides) under Elaeis guineensis (African oil palm). RNAcentral's name for it is "long non-coding RNA (EGUI_LNC082234)". The record is from RNAcentral. Lineage: Eukaryota; Viridiplantae; Streptophyta; Magnoliopsida; Arecales; Arecaceae.
CACAUGAGAAUUAGUAUAACUUGCACACAAUAUACAAAAUAGUGGAGUGAUGAGUUACUAGGCUAAGUCGUCAACAUUUCAUGGGAUUUUACGGGUGCAUUCAGGACUUUGCUUUAGAAAAGUUAGUUACAUGGUAUUGCUUGAAUUUCUGAACUCUAUAUAGGUACGUAAGAUUUAAAUAUAUAUUUUAUUUAAAUUUAAUCAUAAAUAUCAUAAAUCAAAUCACAAACACUAGAUAUAUGCUACAGCCUUUUGAUUCGCAUGAGUAACGAGCG